ACCAUAUCAAAUUUUAAAGAGAUAAAUUAUCUAAAAAAUUUAGAGAGAGAAACUAUGUCAAAUAAUUAUACUUUCUCUCUGUAAAACUUGAAAUUUGAGAUAGUUUCCCUCUCAUAAAAUUUUGAGAUAGGUUAUCUAUCUAUCUAAAUUUUUUUGGUAGUCUCUCUAUCUAAAAUUUGAUAUAGUUCUCUCUCUAAAAUUUUAAGACUUUCUCUCUCUAAACUUGAAUUUUUAAGAUAUUUUCUCUCCAAAAUGCUUUAGGUAGUUUCUCUCUCUAAAAUUUGAUAUAGUUUCACUCUAUGAAAUUUUAUGAUAGUUUCUCGCUAAAACUUAAAAUUUGGGAUAAUUUCUCCCUCUAAAAAUUUCCAGAUAAUUUCUCUCUCCAAAAUUUUAAGAUAUGUUUUCGCUUUAAAACUUGAUUAUUGAGAGAGUUUCACUUUCUAAAAAUUUUUGAGAUAGUUUUUCUCUCUAAAAAAUUCGGGUAGUUUAUUUCUCUAAAAUU
Molecule: long non-coding RNA, 502 nt
Filed under: Amborella trichopoda
Lineage: Eukaryota; Viridiplantae; Streptophyta; Magnoliopsida; Amborellales; Amborellaceae
Description: long non-coding RNA (ATRI_LNC002707)
Source: RNAcentral